GACGAACGCUGGCGGCGUGCCUAAUACAUGCAAGUAGAACGCACAGUUUAUACCGUAGCUUGCUACACCAUAAACUGUGAGUUGCGAACGGGUGAGUAACGCGUAGGUAACCUGCCUGGUAGCGGGGGAUAACUAUUGGAAAUGAUAGCUAAUACCGCAUAAUAUUAAUUAUUGCAUGAUAAUUGACUGAAAGAUGCAAUUGCAUCACUACCAGAUGGACCUGCGUUGUAUUAGCUAGUAGGUGAGGUAACGGCUCACCUAGGCGACGAUACAUAGCCGACCGGAGAGGAUGAGCGGCCACACUGAGACUGAGACACGGCCCAGACGCCUACGGGAGGCAGCAGUAGGGAAUCUGCGGCAAUGGACGAAAGUUUGACCGAGCAACGCCGCGUGAGUGAAGAAGGUUGUCGGAUCGUAAAGCACUGUUGUAAGAGAAGAACGGGUGUGAGAGUGGAAAGUUCACACUGUGACGGUAUCGUACCAGAAAGGGACGGCUAACUACGUG
RNAcentral lists this ribosomal RNA (505 nucleotides) under uncultured bacterium. RNAcentral describes it as "partial 16S ribosomal RNA". It matches the Rfam family "Bacterial small subunit ribosomal RNA", at positions 28 to 507 of the family's 1533-position model. The record is from RNAcentral.